UAAAUACUCCCUCCGUCUCAAAAUUCUUGUCUUAGAUUUAUCUAGAUAUGAAUGUAUUUAGUCACGUUUUAGUAUUUAGAUACAUCCAUUUCUAGAAAAACAUAAGACAAUAAUUUUAGGACGAAGGGAGUAUAAG
This 136-nucleotide microRNA precursor is filed under the name Hordeum vulgare. Its description in RNAcentral is "microRNA MIR1122". It matches the Rfam family "MIR1120/MIR1122 microRNA precursor family". Lineage: Eukaryota; Viridiplantae; Streptophyta; Magnoliopsida; Poales; Poaceae. The record is from RNAcentral.